AGAAUCAACGCUGGCGGCGUGCCUAACACAUGCAAGUCGAACGCGAAAGUCCCGCAAGGGAUUAGUAGAGUGGCAAACGGGUGAGUAACACGUGGGUGACCUGCCUUCGAGUGGGGGAUAACGUCCCGAAAGGGACGCUAAUACCGCAUGACAUCCUGCCUUUGAAGAGGUGGAGCUUAAAGCCGGGGAUCGCAAGACCUGGCGCUUGAAGAGGGGCCCGCGCCUGAUUAGCUAGUUGGUGAGGUAAUGGCUCACCAAGGCAUCGAUCAGUA
Molecule: ribosomal RNA, 272 nt
Filed under: uncultured bacterium
Lineage: Bacteria
Description: partial small subunit ribosomal RNA
Rfam family: Bacterial small subunit ribosomal RNA
Source: RNAcentral